RNAcentral lists this ribosomal RNA (254 nucleotides) under uncultured bacterium. RNAcentral's name for it is "partial 16S ribosomal RNA". It matches the Rfam family "Bacterial small subunit ribosomal RNA", at positions 524 to 776 of the family's 1533-position model. The record is from RNAcentral.
UACGGGGGGAGCAAGCGUUGUUCGGAUUUACUGGGCGUAAAGGGCGCGUAGGCGGCCACCGCAGGUCGACUGUGAAAUCUCCGGGCUUAACCCGGAAAGGUCAGCCGAUACUGCGGGGCUAGAGUGCAGAAGGGGCAACUGGAAUUCUCGGUGUAGCGGUGAAAUGCGUAGAUAUCGAGAGGAACACCUGCGGCGAAGGCGGGUUGCUGGGCUGACACUGACGCUGAGGCGCGAAAGCUAGGGGAGCAAACGGG